CUCUCACAGGAAUCUUGUUUGUACCAGCAGAUGCCCUUGCGGCUCUUAUCUGAUCUAUGUCCACUUUAUUCCUGUCAUUAUAACCACUCUCUAAGAGAGCUGUGAAUAGAAAUAAGAUACAAUGCGAAGAUGGCCAUCGGAAAACCAGGAAGAGGGCCUUUACCAAGAACCCGACCAUGCUGGCACCUUCAUCUCAGACUUCCAGCUACCAGAACUCUGAAGAAAUUGAAGCUCAGAGAAGUUAAGAUACUUGCUUUAGAACACAGAUAGUUAGGGGCAAAGCUGGGAUUCAAACUCAAAGCACUUGGCUCACGAAUCUAUGUAGUUAGAAGUACUCUAUUCUGCCUUCGUAACACUCUCUUGCUUUAAUAAAGUGAAUGAUAAUAAUA
This is a long non-coding RNA of Homo sapiens (human), 389 nucleotides long. NCBI's taxonomy places the organism in Eukaryota, Metazoa, Chordata, Mammalia, Primates, Hominidae. The record is from Ensembl.